Molecule: ribosomal RNA, 2799 nt
Filed under: Triticum aestivum (bread wheat)
Lineage: Eukaryota; Viridiplantae; Streptophyta; Magnoliopsida; Poales; Poaceae
Description: partial small subunit ribosomal RNA
Source: RNAcentral
AUGCAUACACCAGAUCCAUUUGUAGUUCCGCGUGAGUUCUCAGACGAGAACACAGAUCAAUCCACCAUGGCGGAGGGCGUUGUGGCGUUGCUGAUUGCCAAGCUCGGUUUUGCCUUGGCAAAAGAGGCGGCAACCUUCGGCGCAUCACUGCUGUGCAAGGAAGCAUCUGCCCUCAAGGGUCUCUUUGGUGAGAUCCGUGAGGCCAAGGAGGAGCUGGAGAGCAUGCAGGCUUAUCUCCAGGGGGCGGAGCGGUUCAAGGACACCGACGAGACCACCGGCAUCUAUGUCAACAAGGUUAGGGGCUUCUCCUUUGAGAUCGAGGAUGUGGUCGACGAGUUCACAUACAAGCUGGAAGACACUCAUGGGGGAUUUGCUGCGAAGAUGAAGAAGAGGGUCAAGCACAUCAAGGCAUGGCGCCGUUUGACAAUCAAGCUCCAAGAUAUCAAGGGCAGGCUUCAGAGUGCGGACAGGAGAAAGGUCCGCUACGACAUGAAAGGGGUUGAGGGAGAGGGCUUGAAGAGUGGUCACUCUGAAUCUGCUGGUCAUUCACUGAAUCUUGCGAGGGAAGAGGAUCUUGUGGGCAUUAAAGAGAACAAGGACAAGCUGAUGCACUGGCUGGUGGGUGAUUUGGAGGAACAGGGGAGCAAAAGUGCAACUGUUUGGGGAAUGGGAGGUGUGGGUAAGACCACUUUGGUUGAUCAUGUGUACAAGGCCGUGAAGAUGGACUUUGCUAAAUGUGCGUGGAUAACAGUAUCAAGUAGCUAUCAUGUUGAAGACUUGUUGAAACAGAUCGCCAGUCAAUUGGGCAUCCCAAUUGCCAACGCAAACGAAAACAGAAGCUUGGUUGAGGUAAUCCAUAAUCAUCUCAAGGGUUCAAACUAUCUCGUAAUUCUGGAUGACGUUUGGAAUGUGGAUGUCUGGUUUAAGAUUAGGAAUGCAUUUCCUACAGAAAGCACUGGUCGAUUUGUUAUCACCACUAGAAUGCAGGAGGUAGCAUUGCUGGCAACAAAAACCUGUACAAUCAAACUCGAACCAUUGGAAAGAGAUUAUGCGUGGCAGCUAUUUUGCAAUGAAGCCUUUUGGAACAAUGAGAACAAAACAUGCCCAGAGGAACUAGAAGAUUUGGGUAAAAUGUUUCUGGACAAGUGUGGUGGCUUGCCCAUUGCAAUUGCUUGUGUAGGCCGCUUGUUGUCAUGCAGAGAUCCAACUUACUAUCAAUGGGAAAGUGUAUACAAGGAGUUAGAGUCACAGCUCAGCAACAAUGUGAUCCUCGAUGUUAACAUUGUUCUGAAAGUCAGCUUGGAGAACCUUCCGACUCAUCUGAAGAACUGUUUUCUGCACUGUACAAUAUUUCCAGAGGAUUACCUGUUCGGAAGGAAACAGGUAAUCAGGCAUUGGAUCGCAGCUGGAUUCAUUAAAGAAACAGGGAGCAAAACAUUGGAGGAAGUGGCAGAGGGCUACCUGAAUGAACUUGUAAACAGAAGCCUAUUGCAGGUGGCUGCGCGGAACCUGCGUGGCCGAGUUCGCAGGUUCCGAAUGCAUGACAUCAUCCGUGUUCUUGCUCUCGCUAAAUCAGAAGAGGAAUCCUUUUGUCAAGCUUACAAUGGCUCAAGGGAUUUUUCGGCCAAGAACACGCGGCGUCUGUCAAUGCAGGGUACAAACAUGGAACAACUGACCCCCUUGUUGUGUGCACCAAGUCUCCGCUCUCUGCAUGUUUUCCAGAGUCACAUGAGGAUUGAUUUCCUAGAGGCUUUCCUCAAACCUUUGAGCUUGCUGUCAACAUUGGAUCUGCAAGGAGUUCAAAUCAAGAGACUACCCAAGAUGGUUUUCAACUUGUUCAACCUGCGUUUUCUAGGUCUUCGAGAUACUCAAAUUGAAUAUCUCCCAAAAGAAAUAGGAAGGUUACAGAACCUGGAAGUCCUUGAUGCUUUCAAUACUAUGCUAGCGUCAGUUCCAGUGGAAAUAGCCGCACUUCGGAAAUUGAAAUACCUGUAUGUGGUUACUAUUCCAGCUGGAGAUAAUGAAAGAGUUCUUGCUUAUGACGGGAUUCAGAUGCCCAAGGGUAUCGGCAAUUUGACCGACUUGCUGGCCCUGCAACAUGUUGAAGCUAGCAGUCAGGUGCUAAGUCAGUUAGGAUGUUUAACCAAUUUAAGAACUUUUGGUAUCAGUAAAGUCAGGAGUGGUCAUUGUGCAGAUUUGUGUGGGGCGAUCACGAAAAUGGUUAAUCUUGUUCGUGUAGGAAUCAUUGCACUUGAUCAAAGGGAAGUCUUGCAGCUAGAAGCACUUUGCUUACCACCAACUAUUUCGAAAGUUGACAUUGUAGCGCAGCUGGACAAAAGAUUUCUAACUCAGUUCGUCUCAUCCAGUUCAAAGCUUGUUAACCUCACUGAUUUAACUUUGUGUUGGUCCAAAUUAUACGAAGACUCUUUUGGGUGUCUCUUGGGUUUGCAUGGCUUAGUUACACUUCACCUUUGUAAGGCUUAUGAUGGAAAGGGGCUACACUUCCAUGCAACAUCACUUCCAAAACUCAAGUUACUAGGCAUAUGGGAUGCUCCGCAUCUCAGUAGAGUUACAAUUGAACAAGGUGCGAUGCAAAACAUUGACGAACUACUUCUCAGGGACUGUCCAGAAUUGAAGGAUCUUCCUGAUGGCAUUGAGCAUCUUAGAACCCUCGACUACCUGAAGCUGGAGGAUAUUUCUGAAGAGCUGACAGGGAAGCUUCAGCAAAAUGAGGAAUCAAAGGAAUGCGACGAAGAUUGGAUGAAAAUUAGCCAUGUGAGAUGGGUUGAUGUACUUUAG